CAAAAUGUAGCUUAACUAUAAAGCAUUUAGCUUACACCUAAAAGAUUUCAGCACAACCUGACCAUUUUGA
Molecule: transfer RNA, 70 nt
Filed under: Marmosa demerarae (long-furred woolly mouse opossum)
Lineage: Eukaryota; Metazoa; Chordata; Mammalia; Didelphimorphia; Didelphidae
Description: Micoureus demerarae (long-furred woolly mouse opossum) tRNA-Val
Rfam family: tRNA
About the family: Transfer RNA (tRNA) molecules are approximately 80 nucleotides in length. Their secondary structure includes four short double-helical elements and three loops (D, anti-codon, and T loops).
Source: RNAcentral